GCAUUCACCCUCCCACCCAGUAUCUCAGCUGCGUGUCCUCUGCUCUGCUUACUAGCUGGUUUAAGAGUACACCAAAGUGAGUCCAAGUUGUCCUUCUGCCAGUUUAUAUCUUGGAUUUGACUUUGGAGUCUGGCUGAAAUCGCUGAUCCCCUGGGAAGACUUUCAGGAGUAAAAGGAUCCCCAUGCCCCCUAAGACUGUGGAUGCUGAAUGAGUACUCAAGCAUUCUGAGGGAUGGGCACACAGGGAACAGGAGUCCUCAUCUGAACAUGGUUGGCCCAGCCUCCUACCAUGCCAGGAUCCUGUGUUCCUUUCAUGUGUCAGGCUGCUGUCUGGCUGGACCCACCCUCUUGGCUGGACAUGCUCAGGUGUGUGCUCUCUUGUCUCUCCCCAGGCUGACUUCCUUCACAGGAUCUGGAAUCUAACAGAAACCUCAGUGUAUGUAUACAUUCCAGUAUUGAGUCAGAUCCAAGUUUUCUCCCCUAGGGAUCUGCAAAUCCAGAUGUGACUGGGCUCCAUCAUCACAAUCUCUCAUCAUUCUAUGACAGUUACGAUUCUCCCA
RNAcentral lists this long non-coding RNA (560 nucleotides) under Dasypus novemcinctus (nine-banded armadillo). Its description in RNAcentral is "lncRNA (ENSDNOG00000050325.1)". The record is from RNAcentral. Lineage: Eukaryota; Metazoa; Chordata; Mammalia; Cingulata; Dasypodidae.